RNAcentral lists this long non-coding RNA (849 nucleotides) under Monodelphis domestica (gray short-tailed opossum). RNAcentral describes it as "lncRNA (ENSMODG00000034468.2)". The record is from RNAcentral. Lineage: Eukaryota; Metazoa; Chordata; Mammalia; Didelphimorphia; Didelphidae.
UGAUUUAAUUCUUUCUUUUAAAAGUCUAACUGGGUGGGGGGGGGCAUCCGGUUAGCCCAGUGGAUUGAGAGCCAGGCCUAGAGAGUGUGAUAGAAGCUGGCACUAAAGAAAAAGUGCCAGACUGAAGAGUAUAUGAAAUUGAUCACCUCGAUGGGGGCGGGGCCCCAGGAAUGGAUUUCCUGAGAAGAGUAGACUCUGGCUGGAGAACAGUGAGGGUCAGUCAAAGAGAGAAGGUGAAUAAAGACUUUCUUCUGAGGGUUACCCAUUUUUCCUGCUGGUGACUAGAAAUCUUUCCCCCCAACAUUUCUCAAUUAAAGGGACAUUCUGAAGAGAAACCUGAGCAGACUUUACCUCAGCUCCUAUUGCCCAGGGGAAUCUUUGGCUUCAGUCUUCAGCUUGGAGCUUCGACUGGUGACUUAUCUCUUGGAGGUGGCUUUGGACUUGGACUUCAGCUUCCAUUUGGGACCUUGACUUCUUGGACUGCUCCUGGAUCUUCUGCUUUGUACUUCAUCUUGGGCAAGAAGUUGAAAUCUGAUGACAUGAUUCCUUAUAUAGGAACUUCCAUAUAUUCUCAACUUCAAAAUGAAACUUGGAUAUAUACUGUAGAUUCAAUGAUCUCUCCAUGGAGAAGUGUGAGAAGAGAAGCAGUUAAUUCUGGAUUUUAGUCUUUUGGUCAGGCAAGAAGCAUGGAAUACAUUCUAAAAGUGUAGAGUCAGAGGGUUAAGAAUAUUAUAUUACUUGUUGGUUAUGGGAGGGGUGUAGGAGGAGGGAAGGGAAAGAACAUGAAUCAUGUAACCAUGGAAAAAUAUUCUAAAAUAAAUAAAUAAAUAAACUUUUAAAAAAUUUAAA